This 71-nucleotide transfer RNA is filed under the name Camelus ferus (Wild Bactrian camel). It matches the Rfam family "tRNA". Rfam says of the family: Transfer RNA (tRNA) molecules are approximately 80 nucleotides in length. The record is from Rfam by way of RNAcentral. Lineage: Eukaryota; Metazoa; Chordata; Mammalia; Artiodactyla; Camelidae.
GAGGCGAUAGCUCAGUGGUAGAGUGUGUGCUUAGCAUGCAUGAGGUCCUGGGUUCAAUCCCCAGUACCUCC